This is a long non-coding RNA of Balaenoptera ricei (Rice's whale), 979 nucleotides long. RefSeq lists it as uncharacterized. Lineage: Eukaryota; Metazoa; Chordata; Mammalia; Artiodactyla; Balaenopteridae. The transcript has 5 exons. The record is from RefSeq and is a predicted model, not a curated record.
UAUCCAACCAGACCACACCGAAGUAAACCUAGUGUUUCUCUAGUUAGGCUGUGCUUAUCUGCUCCCCAAACGGCUUCCAUGGAUCUCAAACAGUUGCCUAGCGCAAUAAAUCUCGGCAAGCUGUGUUGUUGAAGCUGACUCUGUCACGGAGGAAGUAAAUGAGCACGAUUUAUAUUUACGAUUCAGAUCUUUUUUUUUUAAUGGAAGAAAAACUGGGACUAUUUCUAUUGUGCAUAAAAACUGCAGCGAUGUUACAAGUAGCUAUAAGAAAGAGGAAGAGACACCAGAGAUGCACAGAGAAGACCACUCGAGGACACAGCAGGAGGAUGGCCAUCUGCCAGCCAAGGAAAAGGGCCGAAGGAUAACCCAAUACUGCAGACACCUUGAUCUUAAACUUCCAGCCCCCAGAACUACAAUGGGAAGACGGACAGCCUACAGCCUGGAAGAUGGUUCUCACCAGAACCCAACCGUGCUGGUACUCUGACCUUAGACUUCUAGUUUCCAGAAAUACGGGCCCUAAAUGUGAAUCGAAACUGCAGAGAAGAUGGAAGGGGGAUUCAGAAGAGAUCUAAGAAAAUGGACUCCAGGGAUAGAGAGCACAGCUUUCCAGGAAGAGUUAAAACAACUGCCAUUAUUUUGGCCUAAAGUUUUCCUAUAUUUUUUGUUAUUCAACCACUUUAAGAAUAAAGAAUGAGGCUCUUGGACUUCCCUGGUGGCGCAGUGGUUAAGAAUCCUCCUGCCAAUACAGGGACACGGGUUCAAUCCCUGGUCCAGGAAGAUCCCACAUGCCGCAGAGCAACUAAGCCCAUGCGCCACAACUACUGAGCCUGCAUGCCACAACUACUGAAGCCCGUGCACCUAGAGCCCGUGCUCCGCAACAAGAGAAGCCACCGCAAUGAGAAGCCUGCACACCUCAACGAAGAGUAGCCCCCACUCGCCACAACUAGAGAAAGCUCGUGUGCAGCAACGAAGACCCAAU